Molecule: long non-coding RNA, 538 nt
Filed under: Ananas comosus (pineapple)
Lineage: Eukaryota; Viridiplantae; Streptophyta; Magnoliopsida; Poales; Bromeliaceae
Description: long non-coding RNA (ACOM_LNC035450)
Source: RNAcentral
UAAAUAGCUUUACCUUUGGACAUGAUAAUGGGUUAGUUGUUUAUCUAUUUCAUUGUACAUGCAUUCAUAUAUUUAUGAUUGGGCAUAGUAGCGUAGCUUUACUUCUGUCAUUUACCGCUUUCCUUAUCUAUCUAUCUAUCGAUUAUCUACUUUUGCCCUCUUGGACCUAGUGGGGAGAUCGGCGGAGUCGGCGACCGAACCCACUGGGAACUAUGAAAGAUAGUUCUCACCCCACUUUUUACAGGUUCGAGUUUGGGCAUCCCCGGUGAGCGUGAGGAUCGUGGUAAGGGCCCGGCGCUCUAGUCGCAUUAGUUACCUCCCUUUUGCAUUAGCUGUCACCCUUUUUGUAUUUGAGAGUAGAUGUUGUAUAGGGUGAGGUUCGAGUGAUUGUAUUUAUAUCUUGGAAGAAUGUAAAAGAGGUAAUUAAAUAUAGUAAGUCAAAUGAAUGUAAUAGAUAGCUUCUUCUCUCUUUAUGUACUCGUGUAUAAUUUUAUACUUGUAUCUUGCUCUCGUCUUGUGGCACUAGUGGUGCUUCUUG